UUUUGGGUUAAGUCCCGCAACGAGCGCAACCCUUGUCAUUAGUUGCUACGAAAGGGCACUCUAAUGAGACUGCCGGUGACAAACCGGAGGAAGGUGGGGAUGACGUCAAGUCCUCAUGGCCCUUAUGGGUAGGGCUUCACACGUCAUACAAUGGUACAUACAGAGGGCCGCCAACCCGCGAGGGGGAGCUAAUCCCAGAAAGUGUAUCGUAGUCCGGAUUGUAGUCUGCAACUCGACUGCAUGAAGUUGGAAUCGCUAGUAAUCGCGGAUCAGCAUGUCGCGGUGAAUACGUUCCCGGGUCUUGUACACACCGCCCGUCACACCAUGGGAGCGGGUUUUACCAGAAGUAGGUAGCUUAACCGUAAGGAGGGCGCUUACCACGGUAGGAUUCGUGACUGGGGUGAAGUCG
This 409-nucleotide ribosomal RNA is filed under the name uncultured bacterium. Its description in RNAcentral is "bacterial SSU rRNA". It matches the Rfam family "Bacterial small subunit ribosomal RNA", at positions 1073 to 1488 of the family's 1533-position model. The record is from RNAcentral.